Molecule: transfer RNA, 68 nt
Filed under: Marmota monax (woodchuck)
Lineage: Eukaryota; Metazoa; Chordata; Mammalia; Rodentia; Sciuridae
Description: tRNA.Val
Rfam family: tRNA
About the family: Transfer RNA (tRNA) molecules are approximately 80 nucleotides in length. Their secondary structure includes four short double-helical elements and three loops (D, anti-codon, and T loops).
Source: RNAcentral
GGAUGUAGCUCCAUUGGUAGAGUGCCUGCCUCACAUGCAGAGAGCUCUGGGUUCAAUCCCCAGCACCA